RNAcentral lists this long non-coding RNA (806 nucleotides) under Triticum aestivum (bread wheat). Its description in RNAcentral is "long non-coding RNA (TAES_LNC028369)". Lineage: Eukaryota; Viridiplantae; Streptophyta; Magnoliopsida; Poales; Poaceae. The record is from RNAcentral.
CAAAUAGCUAGGUAUGAUUCUUGCACAUAGUAAUUACAUAUUUACCUUUGCUUGGUUUCUUUCUUAUGUGUAAGUUGAUAUGGUUUUAUUUCCUGGUUCUUUGUUUCUGAGUAUCUGUUCGUUAUUUGGCAAUACUCCCAUAGCAUGUUAAAAGAUUUGACACAUUGACAGGGUGUUUCAUCGAUACCAUAUACACAGCAGAAUGCACCGUUGCCUCUGUUGAAUUGAUAGCCCACAAUUUCUUUAGCGUCCAUUCGGAGGUUUAUGUUUGCGAUGAUCAGCGGCAAAUUUCUGUUCGUACAGUAUUUGGCGUUAUGUUGAAUCGACUGCUCAAUUUUAAGGUGGUGGCUAAGGUGAUUCAAAUUACAAAGAGUUCACAGAAGUUUUCUCCGUCAUUAUUUUUUCACACUCACUUGUAUGACACUGUUUGCCUUUCCCUCUUUACCAUCACUAUUUGGUGAAGUGCAUAAUUCGCGUACACCUAUACAGUACACCCUCCUUUUGCUUCGCACGAAAUGAUAUUUAUAAGUUAUACUUACUGGCGAUUAUUCCAAACUGACAGGUUUCCAGUAUAAGGAUGUUAGUGGGAAGGGAAUGCUCUUGCUUGUCAUCAAUAAUUUACUCCAGAACUAUUCUGACUGGAGAUAUCCGUUGGGCUGUUGCUUUUGGUAGGGCAAGCAAGCAGAAAGAAUUAAUUUAUCUGGUGGUCAGCCUGGCGAAGCAUUUAGGAAAAUGUUCCCCAGGGGAAGGAGAAAAGAAUGUUUAUGUUGGCUGAAAUCGAAGUUGCUCUGGGAAGAAGACAGGAU